UGGGGGCAUUGCCAGUCCCUCUCUGCCCUUAGUGAGCUGUGUGACUUUGCACAAGUCGCUCCCCCUCACUGAGCCUUCCCUCCUUCCUCUGUGAUUGGGGGCAAGGGAAGUUAACGGGCAGUGGUUUUGCAAUUAGGUUCUGCUGAGCCCUUAGGCGCCCUUCAGAAGCCCUCGCAGGAGGAGGGUCGGGGGCUCGGUGGGUGGGAUUCCGAGCCCCCCGAGCCCCACCUUAACCAGACCAUCCUGCUUUUCUCUCUUUUAUAAUCAGGGUUCUGCAUAAUAUUUUGAGGGAAGACACAGUUCUGAGGCUCGAAGGAAAACGAAAACCACUUUGCCAACUGAUCUCGGAAGCCUGCCUUCCAGCGCUCACAGCCCAGCAGCCCGGGGAGAUGAUGGACCUCACCCUCCGCUGCCUCAGAGAGAGCAUCUUCCCUGUGGCCUUUCCUGUUCACGUUCCCCUUAGAAAAUCCAGCGGCCUGGCGACUUCGUCUUCAGAAGCUGUUCUCUGGGGCGCCUGGGUGGCUCAGUGAGUUAAGCUUCCGACUCCAGCCCAGGUCAUGACCUUGUGGCUCGUGGAUUGGAGCUCCGCAUUGGGCUCUCCGCUAUGACCACGGA
RNAcentral lists this long non-coding RNA (615 nucleotides) under Felis catus (domestic cat). RNAcentral's name for it is "lncRNA (ENSFCAG00000045947.2)". Lineage: Eukaryota; Metazoa; Chordata; Mammalia; Carnivora; Felidae. The record is from RNAcentral.